UUCUUGAAGCGGGGGUGCCUGGCGUUUGCCGGGCUGAGAGAGUCCCUUGGAACCUGAUCCGGUUUGCACCGGCGUAGGGAGCUUGAUACGGAUCGAU
Molecule: non-coding RNA, 97 nt
Filed under: Rhodanobacter fulvus
Lineage: Bacteria; Pseudomonadati; Pseudomonadota; Gammaproteobacteria; Lysobacterales; Rhodanobacteraceae
Also listed under: 1 other name
Description: TPP sequence
Rfam family: TPP riboswitch aptamer (THI element)
About the family: Vitamin B(1) in its active form thiamin pyrophosphate (TPP) is an essential coenzyme that is synthesised by coupling of pyrimidine and thiazole moieties in bacteria.
Source: RNAcentral